Molecule: RNA transcript, 1447 nt
Organism: Photinus pyralis (common eastern firefly)
Lineage: Eukaryota; Metazoa; Arthropoda; Insecta; Coleoptera; Lampyridae
Exons: 4
Source: RefSeq, a predicted model, not a curated record
UUUAUGCGUAAACUGACGAUAUACGUUUUAUCUCCACCUAUUAAAUUUCCAAAAUGUUCUCUUUCUUCGCCGGUUUAUACUUUUAGAGUGUAGCAUAUAUUGCUCGCAUCCAGAUUUGGAAACUCGAAAUAGAAUUAAUGGACUAGCGGUAGUGUCGUACCGUAAGUCAAUAAAAAUAAAGUCUCUAAUACUACUUUGCUUUUCGUCUCGUGGAGUAUUGAAAGGACCAUGAUUAACGAUAAGUGUCUUCAUUAGUUCCGGGCAAUAAUAUACUAUACGGAGUGUUCUGAAAAUAAGAAGCAAUGGCGAUGUAUUGUUAGGGUAAAUGUAAUUGACAAACAUUGCACACGUUUUUUGAAUGGCGAACCCUAGUGAAGUUAUUUUUUAGCCGAAGGUCGAGGACCAAAAUUAAGAUGCGAAAUUAAUAAGAGAGUUUUCUACUGUUUAUGUACUAUUUGUUCACUACUACAUAUUUUUUUAGGAGGACCGAGCUAGACAUCUUAAACCUACUUGCACGAUACUAUUGUAGAUAACUAGGCAAGCACGAAAAUAUUAAAACCAGCGAAAAAGUGAUCCGCUCGAUUAGCCGUAUUGGAAUGAAAUAAUCUCAUGGGCAUAAAAAAAGGAAAUUAUGACAAACAAACGCAACAAAUUGAGUGGGUUUCAAAGGGUCAGUUUGGCAACCCUACCUUUGAAAAUGAGAGAGCGCACAUGUUAACAGCUUCUCUAUAUGGAGCAAUAAUGAAUCGGUUACCACAUACACCCUGUCACAACAUGGUAGGUCGAUGCCUGAAUAACAAACAACUUUACGGAUGCCACCGAAUAUGGGAUGGCAAAAGAAAGAGUGGCAAUAAAUUUAUUUGAAAAGAAAACUGGCUUAACCGUACAGUCUUCCGGUUUAUGGAUUGAUGAGGAAACAGAAUUUUUAGGGGCCUCUCCUGAUGGGUUAAUUAAUGAAGAAAAUGCAUUAAUUGAAGUCAAAUCCUUGUUUUCUGCAUCAAAGCUGAACGUCGCACCUAUGGUGGAGGUAGUAGACGAAAUGAAAAAUAAAAAAAAGUACACUUGCUUAAAAAAAGAUAACAAUGGCGCCCUAGUUUUAAGAAAUCACAUCCAUAUUACUACCAGAUCCAAGGACAGUUACACAUUUGCAAAAGAUCUGUCUGUUACUUUAUAAUAUAUGUUAGCGACAAUGUUAAAAAAUUAAAAGAAUCAGUAGGGAUGAAAAACUGUGGCAGGAGAAGUUACGCCAGUUUUAUAAGGAAUGUGUGGCUCCUGAAAUUAUUACAAAUAAUAUCGGAAAUGGAAGAAAAUGCCGAGUUCCUCCAUUUAUUUUAGAUGCUACAAUGGCCCAUGAAGAGAAAAAAUCCCAAUUCCUAAAUUGGAUAGGGCUUAGCUAAAUUUAUAUAAUAAAUGACUAUACGGGGGUUUUGCUUAGCAGGGCAGUAUU